CUCUCUCCCACUUCCCGUUGCCGGCGGCGGCGCCCUCCUUCCCUCGCCCUCUUCUCCUCCCCUCCUCACGGCUCCUCCAUCAUGCCACGAAUCCCGGCGACCCACCCCGUCUUCGCGCCCGCCCGAGUCCCAUCCAUGUCCGCGCCGGCUUCGUCUCUGUCUCCUUUCGUGGGAGGUGACCCGCACCCGGCCCCGCGGCUGGGGAGGGGCGGCGGCGGCCUCGUGUAGAUCCCAUCGAGAUCCCGUCCAGAUCACGGCGCGGACGCAUGCCCUAGAUGCCAUGACCUGUCUCCCUUCCCUUCUCUACUCAGGAAGGAGAGGCUAGGCGCCGGACAUGCACUCGCUCUGCCUGGGACGCCGCUCGCCAUCAAGGCAGGAGGCCGGCAACACGGUGGUGAUGAUGCCAGAGUUCAGCGCGGACAAUCCCUGCUCGAUUCGCCCAGGCUCGAGAUACACCGAUCCCUCGGCUCUGCUGGUUCUCCCCGACUUAGAAUGAGGCUGCUCUGGACGAAGCAGAGGACUCUGGGGAGAAGGCUUCCAUCAAGGAAGCAGACAAGUACUGCAAGGCCAUCAUCGGGAGGCUGUCGCGCGGCGCCACCUGCCUGAAGGGCAGCCUGCUGGUCAUCGCCCUUGCAGUCGGGGCUGGCUUCAUGCUCUACCCCAACCUGGACCUCACCGCCGACCUGGAGCAGCUCCAGGCGAUGGCGUUAUUCUUGUUUGAAGCUAAGCUAGGCUACUGCAGUUCCAGCAAAAAGCAGGGGAGCAGCUCUUUUCUUUCUUCACUAAUAAAUUCUUGUUUGAAUGCAUAUCCUGGGGGUGGUGAAGCUGGGAGCCUUUCCUCCCCAUAAAAAUGCUUUGCUCUUCAUUAUGAGCAGUGCCCUUAUAUAAUUAGCUGCUAGGAGUGUUUAUAUACUUGAUCACCAUACCUCUAUUGUUCUGGUUACUUUUGCUUUCUUCUAUGUAGUUGUCCAGGGCAUAACAGGACCAGUUUGCUAGUUGUCCAAAAAAAGAUUUUACUUACUUCUACUACUCGUACUUAGUUCAAGACUUGAAGAGUUCAGUAAAUAAUUUUCCCAGCUUAUUUAAUUCUACUUAUGUUCCUAUGGUUGAUCUCGUGGUCCCUUUGUCCGGCUUAUGCAUGUUGAACGCCCCCAUUUAGGUUGCUUGGCCGUGUUAGGCCAAAUUGUUGUUUGUCAGCAUUCUGUCAUUCAGUGUGCUUGUGCUUGUGCUCCGCCAAUUAUCAGGUACACCUCACCUCACCUUGUGUGGGUCACUUGUUAGUAGUGGAUAGGAUCAUGCUAGGAAUUGAGCUGUCGUGUUCAACUUUCUGUAGCUUGUUGUCAUGUGAGCUCACCAACCCAGCUUGCAUCUGCAGUAAUUGUCAAGACCUCGUGUUGCAUUUCUAGCUUCUGAACCUCAUGCUGUGCUAUUGGUUGGUUGCUUGCAGGGGCGCCAGGGAGACGACGCCGUGCAGCCUGAUCUACAGCUCGAAGACGAUGAGCACCCCAGGCUGGGCGACCGGAGCCAGGAACCAUUCCCGACGCAGCUCUCUCGAGAUGGACGAGUUCUUCGCUGCCGCCACCGAGCAGCAGCAACACCAGAGCUUCAGGGAGAAGUAUAACUUCUGCUCCCGGGAUGGUACGAGUGGACGGUGCUAGACUGCUAGGGCUCUCGAGGUUGAUCUCUGUAAUUGUUCUGUUGUAAUGCUAGAAUGUUCUGUUGUGCUAGACUGUUCUGUUGUAAUGACCAGCCAGCCCCAAACGACCGGCCACCAUCAGCAGCAGCAGCAGCAUAUCAUGUCAUGGGCGCCAUGCAAAUGCAGUCAGUCAGUAGUAGCUCAGCCAGCCAGCCAGCCUCUUGAG
This is a long non-coding RNA of Triticum dicoccoides, 1862 nucleotides long. RefSeq lists it as uncharacterized. The transcript has 4 exons. The record is from RefSeq and is a predicted model, not a curated record. NCBI's taxonomy places the organism in Eukaryota, Viridiplantae, Streptophyta, Magnoliopsida, Poales, Poaceae.